CAUCACCACCGCCCACAGGCCUUUGCCGGCCACGUCUCGACUCCCCCGAUCGUUACUGCCACUUCCCAGGCCACAGCCUUCUCUGGCCACAUCCCAACACUUGCCCUGUCCCCGACGGACCAUUAGCGGCUUCUUCUGGACCUUUCAGAGAUAAGCGAGUGGACCUUGGCAGUGUAGGGCCCAGUCCUAUGGGAACAAGGGAUGGGGGUUUCAGAUUGCAGUCCUUGGUUCCAGUCCUUGGAGGGCUUAGAUGCCGCCUCCACAGGCACCCGGAUAUGAAUAUGACCCUAGGGAGGCCCACCCCAGGGUAUCCAGAGCUGAGAAAAGACAGAGGUUUUACAGGCCAUCAAAGAUUCGGUGGUGUCCUCUCUAGGGACUUCCCUCUACCAGAGGAGCUUAAAAAAACUCUCUUGUGUUCCCAGGAGGAUGGCAGAUGGUGAGCAAGCUUUCGAAACCAUGUCGCUGGGGACAUUAAGCUUGGAGAAAGUGACAGUAGGGAUACAGUUUUGAAGUGACCAAAGGGUUGACUUGUGGAAGGAUGAGACCUUGUUCUGUUUUCCUGGAGAGUGUGUGGAGGGUCAAGGGACUGAUGUUUGAAGGGAAAGCUUCAAAACUUUUUAAAGAAACCUUCAGAAUGGCUUUGAACCCGACAAGCUAGACAUCGCUUCAGAGCACCGCCUUCAGCAUGCAUCUGCCCUGUCAGGCUUCCCUGGCAAAGGGGUCGUUCUUUGAAGGGGUCGUUCUGCAGAGGGCCAGGGAAACGAUGCUCACGGAACCAGAUUGGUGGAUUUGACUUUCUGGUAGAAUUCUCUUGCUUUAUUGAUUUUUUUCCCAGAGCUCUGAGAGGCUGGAGGUAUUGAUGGGACCGAAGGGCCUGGAAGGAAGGGAAGAAGCAUUUUCAUGCUGAAUGAAAACUAGACAAGUGACUGUUGGAGACUGAAAACACCUAAACGUCCCACAUCCGGAUUCAGCGGAGGAACUGUCACUGCUGGGGAGAAAGAAGCCAGACUGGAAAAGAAAACCCAAAUAAAGAGAAUGAGGGCCACCGAAGAGUAAAUGGCCACCUCCACCUCGACAGAGACCAAGUCAGCCUCCUGGUGGAAUUAUUUUUUCCUUUAUGAUGGUUCCAAGGUGAAGGGAGAAGGAGAUCCAACCAGAGCUGGCAUCUGUUACUUUUUUCCCCCUCAGACCCUGCUUGACCAACAGGAGCUGCUCUGUGGACAGAUCGCCGGGGUUGUCCACUGCAUUUCUGACAUUUCCGGCUCUCCUCCCACCAUCGUCCGUCUGCGGAAACUUAAGUUCGCCAUAAAGGUUGACGGCGAUUACCUUUGGGUGCUGGGCUGUGCUGUUGAGCUCCCUGACGUCAGCUGCAAGCAGCUUCUGGAUCAGCUCAUCGGCUUCUUUAAUUUUUACAAUGGGCCUGUUUCUCUGGCCUACAAGAGCUGCUCUCGGGACGAACUGAGUGGGGAGUGGGACACCUUCAUUGACCAGAUCCUGAGAAACACCGGUGACCUGCAUAAGAUAUUCAACUCCCUCUGGAACCUGGACCGAACGAAAGUGGAGCCCCUGCUGUUGCUGAAGGCGGCCCUCAUUCUGCAGACCUGCCAGCGCUCGCCCCACGUUCUAGCCGGCUGCAUCCUCUAUAAGGGGCUGAUCGUUAGCACCCAGCUCCCACCCUCUGUCACAGCCAAGGUUCUGCUUCAUCGAGCUGCACGUCGGGACCAGAGAAAACCUCUAGGAGGGGAUGCCCUGCAGGAACACGGAGCAGCACUCCCUCCAAACGUCCAGAUUGUGCCUGUUUUCCUGACCGAAGAGGAAGCUGUCAGUCUCCGUGAGUUCCCCCGGGAGCCCACGACCAGCACUCUGGCAUCUCCAGCCAGACUCCCGGAGCCCCCAGCCCAGCGCCCUCCAAAGGGUUUGAACACAUCUGCCCCGAAAGAAAACGCCCCCAGACACGUGGAAUCCACGGCUCGGAUCUCAGCGACCAGCCCUGAGCCCACGUCUCCUGACGUCACCUGGCCAAAUGGCAGCGGGGAGAACGGACACUGGUCAGACUGUGAUCUGAAAAGCAUCAAGCCCCCAACACCGCACCACGCCACCGGGGGCCGGGGGCCUGGGCUCGGCCUCUCCCUGGUGAAGGAAACCGGUUUGUCUAGGGGGGAAGAGGAACUGGACUUGUCUGAAAUCCACGUUCCAGAAGCUCAGGACACGGGAGCAUCCUUGGGUUAUUCUGCCUCCAACGGCGGGCCUCCUGGCUGCAGGGCAUCUGUCAGUGACUCUGGCAACCCCGGAAGCCAGCCACCCGAGGCCCUGCCUGUGGGCACAGCCAUGGAAGGCCCCCUCCCUCCCUCCACUGCUGAGAUGCUCACCCAGAAUGGAGCCCUAGAACGGCCCAGAGACCUCCCUAGCAACAGCAGCCAAGCCCCCGUCCCCAGGGACCACCUCCUCAGCCCGACGAGCGGGCCGUUGCCGUCGCCUUGCUUGGAUUCGAGGCAGACGGGGUCUGAGCUGCCCGUGGGGGAACAAGGCGAGGGGCAGCACGGCGAUGGGGUUCCUGAGGGCCGCUCAGCCUCCAGCCCGGAACGCGCCUCGGGCUCGGCAGGCCCUCCAGGCGACGGCCCCUCCGCAGACAGAUCCGGAUCCAGGGCGACCCCCGUGUCCCUCGCGCGGCUCGUGCGGAUGAACCUCUACACUCACAGCGUCAGAGGCCUGGCGCUGCUGCUGCUGGCCGAGGAGCCGCUGCUGGGAGAUGGCGCGGCCGUCGAGGACGUGUACCACGGCAGCCUGGCGUCCCUCAAUGGGCUGGAGGUGCACCUGAACGAGACGCUGCCCCAGGACCAGGCGGCCCCCGCGGCCAGAACCUAUGGCUUCGCGCACUACGACCGCAUCCAGAACGUGCUGGCGGGCAACCUGCCACAGGUGGCUACAGCCCAGGACCGCCGCUUCCUCCAGGCCGUCAGCCUGAUGCAUUCCGACUUCGCCCGGCUGCCCGCGCUGUACGAAGUAACCGUCAGGAAUGCCUCCACGGCUGUGUACGCCUGCUGCAGCCCUGUCCAGGAAACCUAUUUCCAGCAGCUGGCGCCGGCGGGGCGGAGCUCCGGCUUCCCGAGUCCGCAGGACAGCGCCUUCAGCCUCCCAGGCAAAGCCAAGCAGAAGCUGCUGAAGCACGGGGUGAACUUACUUUGAACCGUGGGUUCGUGACCCCAGCAGAUGACUCUCACACCGAAUCCCAGCAAAGGAAGCUCUGCCUUGUUAAAUGGAAAAGUCCCACUAUUUUGUUUUCCUUGGAAUAGUCCCUCGUUUUUAGGAAUGUAAUGAUAUUUAAGUGUUUGUUGCCCCUUCUGCAGAUUGGCGUUGGAGGAGGUAGCUCUCCGGGUCAGCAGACCUAGAGCACAUGGUAAAGAACUUGAUGAUGUGGGCAGCACUGCGGCCAGACUGGGUGCCUUGGUCCUUACACCCAAGGGGCACAGGGCCAGUGAGCCCCCCCGUCACACUGAGCCCCGGGCGCCUGACAUUUCUUGCUGCUGUUCCACCCCAGCCUUAACUAGGACCACAAAAUCCCAGCCUGGCCAGGUGAGGAAGAGCGCAUGACAGAACGGUCCGUGCGAGGGUGGCGCGCUGUUCCAGGGAGCACCAGCUUCAGCGUGGCUGGACCGCACGCCAGGCCCAUGUCACCCUUUCUGUCUCCUCUCUGGGGUCCCUCCUGCCACUGGCUGGCCUAAGAGGUGAGCUUCCCAGACGGAGGAGGACCACACCUCAAGCUAGGAGAAAUGUACAGUGUCCUACUUCUCUGCCUGAUUCUCCAAGGAAAAGUCCCUUACAAAUCCCGGGGCCAAGCUCUCACGGAACACUCCCGUGACCGCCUUACACAGAACAUGUUCGCUUUCUGUCCUGAGGUAUUUCAAGCAUCCACACUUUUUUCCUCUUGCCACUGAUGCUCCAGAAUCGUGAGAUCUCCAAGUCCUGAGUUUGGUGAAAUUCUGACCUGUUACGUGUUGACACAGGGACAGAACCUGGAGCCCCUGAGCCCAUUUUCAUCUGCGCCCCCGGUACCUCGGCUAACUACCUGGGCUCAAGGACUCUUCCAAACAAGAUCUGCUUCACAAGGAAAUCUCCUGCCUGUCUCUGAGCCCUUUCCUGGCUGUCAGGCCAUUGGCAGAGCUUAAUCUCCUCUGUUUUGCUUUCAGAAACCUCUCUUCCCAUCUAAUUUCCCAGGGCUGCUGUUGAGCCUAAAAUGUGUGUAAUACAAAAUGCUUGUUCCUGAGAAUCAGUGCUCGAGGCAGCCCGGUGCUUCCCUCUGAGCUGAGUCUCAGCGAUCACAGGUAUGAAGUCCUGUGAUCUCGGGUCCGCACAGCAGAAUGUGAGACCUGCAUGUGACGGCCAUUUUAAAAUAAGUCCACAAUUUCUUUGCUACAAAUUAGGGACCUGAUUCUCCCCCUUGAAUGUGGGCUGUACUUAGUGAUUCGUUUUCAAUGACUAGAAUGUGGCAAAAAUGACAGUGUGACUUCUGAGAGUAGGUUAUGAAACAUCACAGCUGCCACCUCUCUCUCAGUUCACCUGUUUUGGGGAGAAGCUGACAUCCGGGCAGCCCUAUGGAGAAGCCCUCGUGGUGAGGGUCUCCUGCCCACGGCCACGUGAGUGAGCCUUCUUGGAAGCAGGUCCCCCAGCCCGGGUGCCUUCAGAGGACUGCAGCCCCUGCCGACACGUGACUCAACCUCGUAAGAAACAGCCAGAACCAUCAAGCCGAACCACUUCUGAACUAGCCCUCAGGCAGCGUGGGAGACAAUAAAUGUGUGUUGUUUUACGCCA
This is an RNA transcript of Aethalodelphis obliquidens (Pacific white-sided dolphin), 4809 nucleotides long. It is a transcript of the gene named HPS4 biogenesis of lysosomal organelles complex 3 subunit 2, with no coding region annotated. The record is from RefSeq and is a predicted model, not a curated record. The transcript is spliced from 15 exons. NCBI's taxonomy places the organism in Eukaryota, Metazoa, Chordata, Mammalia, Artiodactyla, Delphinidae.